RNAcentral lists this long non-coding RNA (680 nucleotides) under Ananas comosus (pineapple). RNAcentral describes it as "long non-coding RNA (ACOM_LNC024013)". Lineage: Eukaryota; Viridiplantae; Streptophyta; Magnoliopsida; Poales; Bromeliaceae. The record is from RNAcentral.
CCACUCACAUUAUUGCAAUAUCAAAUAAGUUACUGUCAAGUGAGUAGACAACUAUGUAUAACGACCCAGCCCACUAGCAAUAAUAACUCGUUGGGCCCAACCACCGGCCCAAAAUGCUUAAGCCUAUUUAUUAUUACUAGUGUCUAAGUCUCUUAUAUACCCAAUCUAUUCCUAUCCGAUGUGGUGACGUCCUCGUUAGUCUAAUCACACACACAGUCCAAGAUCACCAGGCGAUGUGAGACUUGUCUCGCUAGCCUUGUCAUCCAGACCCUGACAUAGCCGGUCACCUUGUCAUACAGACUCCGGCAUAAUCUAUCACCUUGUCUUUCAGACCCUGGCUCAACCGAGACUCACCACAAAUUUUCGGCUUGUGAUUGGCUCUGAUACCAAAUGUAAUGACCCAGCCCACUAGCAAUAAUAACUCGUUGGGCCCAACCACCGGCCCAAAAUACUUAAGUCCAGUUAUUAUUACUAGUGUCUAAAUCUCUUAUAUACCUAAUCACAUUCCCAUUCCUAUCCGAUGUGGAAUUAUUGGGGUGUGACGUCCUCGUCAGCCCUAAACGCACAGCCCAAGAUCAUCAUUCCGACCCUGACUAAGCCAAAACUCAUCUCACACUUUCGGGUGGUGAACUAUCUCUGAUACCAAAUGUAACGACCUGACCUGCUAACAAUAAUAACUC